This is a non-coding RNA of Pelobates cultripes (western spadefoot toad), 234 nucleotides long. The record is from the annotation of a GenBank genome assembly. NCBI's taxonomy places the organism in Eukaryota, Metazoa, Chordata, Amphibia, Anura, Pelobatidae.
CUUCUUCAAAAGAAGAUCAACAGGGAAAACUCUAUUUUCUGCUGUUGUGGGGCCCCACUAAACCAUUCUUCUCGUUUAACCACUAACACAUCCACGUGGCAUGGGGAAAAACAAAUUCCUGGCACUUUGUGGGGGCAACAUUAUUUAUCAAUGCAUUACUUCAGAAGUUAGUCAAGUCAAAUUCGGAUAUCAUUUUUUCACAUUAACUAAAAUUGUAAAUUUAUUAGAUGUCAG